UUGACUGCUUGUUCUGCAUUCCUGGUAGGUGUAGCAGCAGAUUGGCAAGUUGACGUAACAACUAUUUGCGAAUCUACAUGCGAUCUGAUGUUACUAAGGUAACUGAAAUGCACAGCAAUCUCCUCGGAAGUCCCGUAGAAGAUAAAGUGGUCAGCGCUGCUGUACUUUGAAAAUGUCAGCCCUGUUUUUUAUAGAAUAUUCCUGACUGGCUGAAAUGUUACACAAGCAAAAUUGAUUCUUUGGUUUUACUUCUUCAAUUGAAGCCACUUCCAGGAGCGAGGCCCAGGACGGAGCCUGGACACCAAUCCUGCAGCCUCCCAGUCUCAGGCCAGCCUUGGAGCAGCACAGCUCCCUGUUAGGUAGGAUUUGUGCCGUGGUCACUGGGAGGAGAAAGAAAUAUCCUAGUGCGAAUAGUAAGGUCCUCAGCUGUCAAAGCUUUACUUAGGCCCCACACAACUGAAAAAGACAUCAGGUGAAAUGAAUCAGAGUCUUCAUCUUUAAAAUGGGUUUUAUGCUUGAUGUCAUGCAGGUACCAGUGGGAAGGGGAUGAUUCUUGCCUUUGCCACAAGAACAGUAACAAAGGUGUCGUUAAACUUGGCUCAUAAUUUAUUUAAAUGAUGUUGACAGGAAGAAAAAAAAAGCUGCCACUUUGGGGAUGUAUACCUGGCGGUGGUACAGGGGGUGAGGGAGCUCACAGCAGCAGGGCCAGGCAAAAAAUAAACAAACAGACAAAUAAAUAAAUAAACCUCAGCUGUUCAUGAGCUCAUUAACGGUUCCUGCUGCCUUCUCAGACUGCCAGCCCAGGGCAGCAGGCCUCGGUGGGCAGUGAAGUUGUGUUUUGUGAGGGGAGUUGCACAGAGGCACCCAGAUAGGCCUGGCCAGGCUGCCAGCCGGCGGGGCCUUUCGGGUCCCCUGCCUGGGUUGUGUUCCCUCAUUGUGAAGUUUGCUGAGCAAAUUGGAUGGCUCAUAGGUUUUGAACGCCAAUAGGAUGAGCCCUACGAAACGUGAAAAAAAAAUAAGUCCACAGACUCGGCUGUAAUGAGAAUCCUGGUGUGCCAAGAUUUUUUGACAUAACUCUGCCCAGAUAGACGGCGUCUGCUCUGAAGACAUUGCCUCUUGCAGGUGAACAGGAAGAAAAUUAUGACUCAGAGAGAUGUGUUUGAGGCACACUGAUUCUCAAGACAUCCCUGAGGACAGGGUAAUUAAGCACCGGUGUAGGUCUUCUCAUAAAACCAUGGUGCAGCUGCUAAUGUAGUGGGCCCUGUUCUUCUCUCACCUGGAGAACCACUGUAGCGUUUGCCCCAGUUGAAUGAAGUUAAUUCUGGUGAAACUGAUUUUUUCUUCAUAAAAACUAUUGAUAGCUUACAUAAUUUUUGAACUAAAUUAUGCAAUUACUUUAAUAUUCCUUUCUCUAUUUCAUUUACCAUUUAGCAGAUGGGAUGCAAAGAAAAUUUCAUCAGGUUAAAAGAGAAAAUUGUGUCCCUGAUCAAUGUUUAUCUUUCUGUUUUAUUUUAAAAUUAUCUCUAGUGUCUUGGCUCUCAAAAGCAGAUGGGCUGUAGGCUUGCUGUAAAUCAACCUUAAAGUAGCUGUCUCUUAACACGUCCGGUUGUAAAAUGAAAGGUGCGACUGGAAUCAUAGGGAGUCCAUGGUGCAUCUGUUGUUUUUUACAGUCAUUUCAUUGUUAUUUUUUCACAUCACUGUUUAUAAUUUCAAUGUGACUUAAUUUUGCUUUCUUGGAAACUGAAAAUGUGGUCCUGUGUUCUUUGUGAAGUAUUUCACUCAGUAUAUUCCUGUCACUGCUUCUGUUGUGCUGCCUGGAUGCAGUCGUUACCUGCUGCCUUUAUCUGAAGCUCUUGUGAUUCUACCUUUUGCCCACCAUGCAUUGUUCACAUUGUCAUGCCUCAGUAGCAAACAGAUGAUAUCCCAAAUAAAUCAGCAAAUUGCCUCAUAUUUCAUAAUGCCAAAAGAUGACAGCGCCAGUACAACACAGGACACAAAAAUCUGAAGAUUCCACUAGAGCUGUUCCCUAACUUUUUUUAUGGUUUUACCAAUUUUAGUAGUUUUAUUGUUAUUAUUAUUUGUCAAUUUGUAAUACAUUACUGCCCUCAUUUUUGUCACCCUGUUUAUAGCUCUUUAUGUAGCAGUAAAAUACUUUCUAUAACUUCCAGUCUAAAAAACAGGCUAGGAAAGGAAAAAGCAAGCUGCAGAUGGAUUACAUGAAUAACUUGGGACAGAACAGUCUGUGAGUUGUACGAAGUUUUCUAGCUCUUCAUUUUGCCAGGAGCUCCUAAUUUGAUGAUCUGUUAGAGUAAAAGAACUGUAUAUAGAAAUUUCGUUGAAGUGAGUAAGAGCUUUCUCUGUUUCCAACAGACAGGAUGUAAUCUGUAGACUGUACUAAUUUUUUUGUUUUGGUUUUCUUCCCGUGCCUUUGGAUCAACUUUGA
Cygnus olor (mute swan) is the source of this 2443-nucleotide long non-coding RNA. RefSeq lists it as uncharacterized. The transcript has 4 exons. The record is from RefSeq and is a predicted model, not a curated record. Lineage: Eukaryota; Metazoa; Chordata; Aves; Anseriformes; Anatidae.